Molecule: ribosomal RNA, 253 nt
Filed under: uncultured bacterium
Lineage: Bacteria
Description: partial 16S ribosomal RNA
Rfam family: Bacterial small subunit ribosomal RNA
Source: RNAcentral
GACAGAGGGUGCAAACGUUGUUCGGAUUUACUGGGCGUAAAGCGCGUGUAGGCGGCUUGGCAAGUCGGAUGUGAAAUCCCUCGGCUCAACCGAGGACGUGCAUCCGAAACUGGAGUGCUCGAGUAUGGAAGAGGGUCGCGGAAUUCUCGGUGUAGAGGUGAAAUUCGUAGAUAUCGGGAGGAACACCAGUGGCGAAGGCGGCGACCUGGGCCAAUACUGACGCUGAGGUGCGAAAGCGUGGGGAGCAAACAGG